GACCUCAAAUCAGGUAAGAGUACCCGCUGAACUUAAGCAUAUCAAUAAGCGGAGGAAAAGAAAAUAACAAUGAUUCCCUUAGUAACGGCGAGUGAAGGGGGAUAAGCUCAAAUUUUAAAUCUGACUAGGUUUUACCUAUCAGAGUUGUAUUUUGAAGAAGCGUUUUCCGCGUCUCGGUUGGCCCAAGUCCUUUGGGAUAAGGUAUCAUGGAGGGUGAGAAUCCCGUUCGGUUGACCUUAUGACGCUUUACGAUACGCUCUCAAAGAGUCGAGUUGUUUGGGAUUGCAGCUCAAAAUGGGAGGUAAAUUUCUCCUAAGGCUAAAUAUCGGCGAGAGACCGAUAGCGAACAAGUACCGUGAGGGAAAGAUGAAAAGAACUUUGAAAAGAGAGUAAAAUAGUACGUGAAAUUGUUGAAAGGGAAACUGAUUGAAG
This 432-nucleotide ribosomal RNA is filed under the name uncultured Glomus. RNAcentral describes it as "eukaryotic LSU rRNA". It matches the Rfam family "Eukaryotic large subunit ribosomal RNA", at positions 1 to 429 of the family's 3401-position model. Lineage: Eukaryota; Fungi; Glomeromycota; Glomeromycetes; Glomerales; Glomeraceae. The record is from RNAcentral.